GAUUGAACGUUGGCGGCAGGCCUAAAAACAUGCAAGUCGAACGGUAACAGCGGGAGCUUGCUCCCGGCUGACGAGUGGCGGACGGGUGAGUAACACGUAGGAAUCUACCUAGUAGUGGGGGGACAACCCGGGGGAAACCCGGGCUGAUACCGCAUACGCUCUACGGAGGAAAGCGGGGGAUCUUCGGACCUCGCGCUAUUGGAGGAGCCUGCGUCGGAUUAGCUAGUU
This 228-nucleotide ribosomal RNA is filed under the name uncultured bacterium. RNAcentral's name for it is "partial 16S ribosomal RNA". It matches the Rfam family "Bacterial small subunit ribosomal RNA", at positions 27 to 250 of the family's 1533-position model. The record is from RNAcentral.